This 467-nucleotide ribosomal RNA is filed under the name uncultured bacterium. Its description in RNAcentral is "partial 16S ribosomal RNA". It matches the Rfam family "Bacterial small subunit ribosomal RNA", at positions 28 to 506 of the family's 1533-position model. The record is from RNAcentral.
GACGAACGCUGGCGGCGUGCUUAACACAUGCAAGUCGAACGGAAAGGCCCUGCUUUUGUGGGGUGCUCGAGUGGCGAACGGGUGAGUAACACGUGAGUAACCUGCCCUUGACUUUGGGAUAACUUCAGGAAACUGGGGCUAAUACCGGAUAGGAGCUCCUGCUGCAUGGUGGGGGUUGGAAAGUUUCGGCGGUUGGGGAUGGACUCGCGGCUUAUCAGCUUGUUGGUGGGGUAGUGGCUUACCAAGGCUUUGACGGGUAGCCGGCCUGAGAGGGUUACCGGCCACAUUGGGACUGAGAUACGGCCCAGACUCCUACGGGAGGCAGCAGUGGGGAAGAUUGCACAAUGGGCGGAAGCCUGAUGCAGCAACGCCGCGUGCGGGAUGACGGCCUUCGGGUGGUAAACCGCUUUCGCCUGUGACGAAGCGUGAGUGACGGUAAUGGGUAAAGAAGCACCGGCUAACUACGU